Molecule: ribosomal RNA, 520 nt
Filed under: uncultured Glomus
Lineage: Eukaryota; Fungi; Glomeromycota; Glomeromycetes; Glomerales; Glomeraceae
Description: SSU rRNA
Rfam family: Eukaryotic small subunit ribosomal RNA
Source: RNAcentral
AGCAGCCGCGGUAAUUCCAGCUCCAAUAGCGUAUAUUAAAGUUGUUGCAGUUAAAAAGCUCGUAGUUGAAUUUCGGGGUUAGUAGGUUGGUCAUGCCUCUGGUAUGUACUGGUCUCACUGAUUCCUCCUUCCUGAUGAGCCGUAAUGCCAUUAAUUUGGUGUUGCGGGGAAUUUGGACUGUUACUUUGAAAAAUUAGAGUGUUUAAAGCAAGCUAACGCUUGAAUACAUUAGCAUGGAAUAAUGAAAUAGGACGUUCGAUCCUAUUUUGUUGGUUUCUAGGAUUGACGUAAUGAUUAAUAGGGAUAGUUGGGGGCAUUAGUAUUCAAUUGUCAGAGGUGAAAUUCUUGGAUUUAUUGAAGACUAACUACUGCGAAAGCAUUUGCCAAGGAUGUUUUCAUUAAUCAAGAACGAAAGUUAGGGGAUCGAAGACGAUCAGAUACCGUCGUAGUCUUAACCAUAAACUAUGCCGACUAGGGAUCGGAUGAUGUUAAUUUUUAAUGUACACAUUCGGCGCCUUAC